Molecule: small nuclear RNA, 90 nt
Organism: Pieris napi
Lineage: Eukaryota; Metazoa; Arthropoda; Insecta; Lepidoptera; Pieridae
Source: RefSeq, a predicted model, not a curated record
UUGUCUUUUAAAAGAAGAAACAGAUAGCACUCCCUUUGACAAGGAUGGUACACAUAAAAUGGUUAAGGCACAACUUGACCACAUUUUUUG